UACGUAGGGGGCAAGCGUUGUCCGGAUUUAUUGGGCGUAAAGAGCGUGUAGGCGGCCAGACAGGUCCGUUGUGAAAACUCGAGGCUCAACCUCGAGACGCCGAUGGAAACCGUCUGGCUAGAGUCCGGAAGAGGAGAGUGGAAUUCCUGGUGUAGCGGUGAAAUGCGCAGAUAUCAGGAAGAACACCCGUGGCUAAGGCGGCUCUCUAGUACGGUACUGACGCUGAGGCACGAAAGCGUGGGGAGCAAACAGG
RNAcentral lists this ribosomal RNA (253 nucleotides) under uncultured bacterium. RNAcentral's name for it is "partial 16S ribosomal RNA". It matches the Rfam family "Bacterial small subunit ribosomal RNA", at positions 524 to 776 of the family's 1533-position model. The record is from RNAcentral.